RNAcentral lists this unclassified non-coding RNA (363 nucleotides) under uncultured bacterium. Its description in RNAcentral is "contains 16S-23S intergenic spacer region". The record is from RNAcentral.
UCCCCGUUACCGGGGCAGUCUGAAUAGAAAAAUACAACUAUUCAUAAGGGUUGCGCUCGUUGAUGGACUUAACCAAACAUCUCACGACACGAGCUGACGACGGCCAUGCAGCACCUGUCACUUGGCUCCUUGCGGCACCAUUCCCUUUCGGGAUUGUUCCAAGGAUGUCAAGCCUGGGUAAGGUUCUUCGCUUACCAUCGAAUUAAACAACACGCUCCACCGCUUGUGCGGGUCCCCGUCAAUUCCUUUAUGUUUUAGCCUUGCGGCCGUACUCCACAGGCGGGGUGCUUAACGCGUUAGCUUCGCUACCGAAGGGGUCGAUACCCCCGACAGCUAGCACCCAUCGUUUACGGCGUGGACUAC